UCUUGGUCAUUUAGAGGAAGUAAAAGUCGUAACAAGGUUUCCGUAGGUGAACCUGCGGAAGGAUCAUUAUCGAAUCGUCAACACGAGUUGUUGCUGGUCCUCUAUGGGGACACGUGCACGCUCUGUUUACACAUCCACUCACACCUGUGCACCUUUUGUAGUUCUGUGGUUCGGGGGACCCUGUCUUCCUUCUGUGGUUCUGCGUCUUUACACACACACUGUAACAAAGUUUUAUGGAAUGUAUGUCGCGUUUAACGCAUAAAAUACAACUUUCAGCAACGGAUCUCUUGGCUCUCGCAUCGAUGAAGAACGCAGCGAAAUGCGAUAAGUAAUGUGAAUUGCAGAAUUCAGUGAAUCAUCGAAUCUUUGAACGCACCUUGCGCCCUUUGGCUAUUCCGAAGGGCAUGCCUGUUUGAGUAUCAUGAACACCUCAACUCUCAUGGUUCCCCAUGAUGAGCUUGGACUUUGGGGGUCUUGUUGGCUUGUGGUCAGCUCCUCUAAAAUGCAUCAGCUUGCCAGUGUUUGGUGGCAUCACAGGUGUGAUAACUAUCUACGCUUGUGCUUGUUUGCUAGAUAACCUCCAGAGAUGGAGGUUCGCUGGAGCUUACAAACGUCUCUCCUUUGCGGGGACAGCUUUUUAACGUUCGAUCUCAAAUCAGGUAGGGUUACCCGCUGAACUUAAGCAUAUCAAUAA
This 694-nucleotide ribosomal RNA is filed under the name uncultured Thelephoraceae. Its description in RNAcentral is "eukaryotic LSU rRNA". The stretch from base 268 to 422 matches the Rfam family "5.8S ribosomal RNA". The record is from RNAcentral. Lineage: Eukaryota; Fungi; Basidiomycota; Agaricomycetes; Thelephorales; Thelephoraceae.